Molecule: transfer RNA, 85 nt
Filed under: Streptomyces noursei
Lineage: Bacteria; Bacillati; Actinomycetota; Actinomycetes; Kitasatosporales; Streptomycetaceae
Description: tRNA-Arg
Source: RNAcentral
CGCUGAGUGCGGCGGUCUCUUCGUCCCGGUCCUUGCGGAGGACCGGGACGGUGACGAUGUCGGUGCCGGAAUCGGCCUCGGUGUC